RNAcentral lists this ribosomal RNA (485 nucleotides) under uncultured bacterium. Its description in RNAcentral is "bacterial SSU rRNA". It matches the Rfam family "Bacterial small subunit ribosomal RNA", at positions 30 to 509 of the family's 1533-position model. The record is from RNAcentral.
AUUGAACGCUGGCGGCAUGCCUUACACAUGCAAGUCGAACGGCAGCACGGGAGCAAUCCUGGUGGCGAGUGGCGAACGGGUGAGUAAUAUAUCGGAACGUGCCCGGUCGUGGGGAUAACGUAGCGAAAGCUACGCUAAUACCGCAUACGAUCUACGGAUGAAAGCGGGGGAUCGCAAGACCUCGCGCGAUUGGAGCGGCCGAUAUCAGAUUAGGCAGUUGGUGAGGUAAAGGCUCACCAAGCCGACGAUCUGUAGCUGGUCUGAGAGGACGACCAGCCACACUGGGACUGAGACACGGUCCAGACUCCUACGGGAGGCAGCAGUGGGGAAUUUUGGACAAUGGACGCAAGUCUGAUCCAGCCAUUCCGCGUGCAGGAUGAAGGCCCUCGGGUUGUAAACUGCUUUUGUACGGAACGAAAAGGUUUCUAUUAAUACUAGGAGCUCAUGACGGUACCGUAAGAAUAAGCACCGGCUAACUACGUGCC